CCUCUCAUAGCGUAGUGGUUAACGCGCCCCAACUAGAGAUCGGGGAGUCGUGAGUUCGAUUCUCACUGAGAAGA
RNAcentral lists this transfer RNA (74 nucleotides) under Aedes aegypti (yellow fever mosquito). It matches the Rfam family "tRNA". Rfam says of the family: Transfer RNA (tRNA) molecules are approximately 80 nucleotides in length. Lineage: Eukaryota; Metazoa; Arthropoda; Insecta; Diptera; Culicidae. The record is from Rfam by way of RNAcentral.